UACGGAGGAUGCAAGCGUUAUCCGGAAUCAUUGGGCGUAAAGAGUCUGUAGGUGGCAUUUAAAGUCUGCUGUCAAAGACCGAAGCUCAACUUCGGGCAGGCGGUGGAAACUGAAAAGCUAGAGUAUAGUAGGGGUAGAGGGAAUUCCUAGUGUAGCGGUGAAAUGCGUAGAGAUUAGGAAGAACACCAGUGGCGAAGGCGCUCUACUGGGCAUAUACUGACACUGAGAGACGAAAGCUAGGGUAGCGAAAGGGAUUAGAUACCCCUGUAGUCCUAGCGGUAAACGAUGGAUACUAGGUGUAGUCUGUAUCGACCCAGACUGUGCCGAAGCAAACGCGUUAAGUAUCCCGCCUGGGGAGUACGCACGCAAGUGUGAA
Molecule: ribosomal RNA, 376 nt
Filed under: uncultured bacterium
Lineage: Bacteria
Description: bacterial SSU rRNA
Rfam family: Bacterial small subunit ribosomal RNA
Source: RNAcentral